GUUCGAAAAAGGCAAACUGUCCGAAAGGGCAGGACGCAAAACCGCUGGCCUAAGUCCGAAAAUUCGAGGGAUACGGUAGCAGGGUUGCCGAG
Molecule: non-coding RNA, 92 nt
Filed under: Desulfobacterales bacterium
Lineage: Bacteria; Pseudomonadati; Thermodesulfobacteriota; Desulfobacteria; Desulfobacterales
Description: c-di-GMP sequence
Rfam family: c-di-GMP-I riboswitch aptamer
About the family: GEMM was predicted in a large-scale screen for bacterial structured RNA regulatory elements.
Source: RNAcentral